This is a long non-coding RNA of Mercenaria mercenaria, 2302 nucleotides long. RefSeq lists it as uncharacterized. The record is from RefSeq and is a predicted model, not a curated record. NCBI's taxonomy places the organism in Eukaryota, Metazoa, Mollusca, Bivalvia, Venerida, Veneridae. The transcript has 6 exons.
CUAAAUAUAUUAAGUUAUAUCUCCUGUCGUCUUAUUUUUUUCUUGCAAUGUUUGUGAUUUUUCUUUUGGUGUUCUAUUGUUCUGUUGUUCAAACUGGUAAGUGAAACAUUAUUUUCCAGUAUAUACAUAAUAAAAAAGGUCCUAUAAAUAGUUUUCCGUUAUAUGCUUAAUGAUCAAUUGAUAAAAUAAACUACAUGAUGACUGCUUGACAUACUGGCAGGGCAAAACUACAACAUUCCAAAAGUACGAACAUUAAGCAACACGAUUCUGUUAUAAUGUUUAAACGUCAGUAGGUACAGAAUGAACUUAAGGUUCAAAAAUAAGUAUGGCAUUUUGCUUCUUAUAUUUUGAAGAAGCAAUUUACUUAGACUAUCAGCACAUCUAACAAGGAUUGCGUAUUGUAUUGCUGAGUUCGUACACGGACCUUUAAAUUUGGUCCUUUUCUUAUCAAAACUCAUUGCCAAAUGAAUACGUCAAUAUGACUUUUUGCCCUGUUAGCACUAGGUUACAUUUAAAUAUGGAUCAAAACAUUGUUUCAGCUUGUGUUGCAACAAGAUAACGUUGUCCUUCGUGACCAUUUACUUCAUGUUAGGUCAGCAUUUAUCAUGAACGAAUAACAAUUUGUUUUUUAUAAAAUCUUCAUAUGGUUUAUUGCACAUGACUUGAUCGUAUUAAUCUAAACGUUGUAUUGGAAAGGCGAUAUAGUAAAUUUGAAAAUGAAUCCUAAAGUUCUCAAAGACAAAGUUGCAGUAUUAAUAUGAACAAUGUCUGGCCUUUGAUUAAUUAAAUACUCCUAAAACUCUUUUACAUUUCAGAGGCACUUCGUUGCUUUUCUUGUCAGAAUAUUGAUGACCCACUAACAUGCAAUACGACAAUCUCUUGUUCCAAUAGACAGGUUUGUUUCCUGGAAGAACAUGGUGGUGUGUAAAAAUGGGCUGUAUUUACAAUCAGCAAGCAGUUGCAUAGAUGACGAAACAGUGGACUGCGCAAAAAUGAAUUCCCUUUUUCAUAUUUGUCAAGACAAACAUCAAGCCAGUUUAGUGUGCCCAAACUUUUGUAAUCUUUGUGGCUUAGUUGAUGGAGACGUGGCAGACUGGUCUGUCUGGUCAAGCUGUGACGACACAUGUGACAUUGGAUCUCAGUCAAGAUCACGUUAUUGUACAAAUCCAGCACCUGCUAAUGAUGGACUUGACUGUAUUGGCAGUUAAACUGAAACUAAAAUCUGUCAGAGGGAUGCAUGUCCAGUUCACGGCAGUUGGAGCCUGUGGUCAACAUGGGGGUCCUGUUCAGUCACAUGUGGAGUGGGGAUGCAGCGAAGAGACCGAUCAUGUUCUAAUCCAUACCCGACAUAUAACGGCGAUCAUUGUUUUGGAGAGUCUAGAGAUGAUAGAAUAUGUGUGUCAACAGCAUGUUCAGUGAACAUGAAGAGAUACUAAGGAAAGCUACUCAAAAUCCUGGGUGCAAUUCUGAAGAGUUAAGAAGUCCCCACAUCACCAGUGAGGAUACUUAAACCCAAAUACGUCAGACGAAAUAAAUCCCCAGUUGCGCAACUCCAGCAGCCCAAUAGUCCUAAAAGAGCUAAAGCUAAACCUAACUGGAUGAACACAUAGAUUUAGGGUGUCAGAUAGUUUUGUUUUUAUUUGAUUUGUAGCACGUAUUUCCAAACAUAUUUUUUUCAUUGUAUGUGACAUUUUAGAUAAAGUAUUAUGUUUCUUUUGACACAUAGUCAAGCAUGUUGUUGAUCGCCUCAUUUAAUAUUCAGGAUGCAUUCAAAUGUACUGUGAAUAUUGAACAUGAAAUCUAUAUUUUAUACGUUUGUGAAACCAUUGAAGGGCAUCACAUCAGUGUUUAUGUUUGUAUCGGCACAAUCCGAUUAUACUGGUACUGUUGCAUAUUUCUGGUGCCACGGGGCCUAAAAGACACUUCCCAUGUAGUCUUGUAAAUGUAUUUCAUACUUUAGGUAAUGAACUCGUAAUAGUGUACCUCCUUUUUGAAGAGUAUUUAAUUCCUACCAUAAAUCUACUUUGACUAAUUUAUCAGGAGGGCGUACGUUCAAGCCCCACUAGGACCAAACUUUUUUUUAAUAUAUCUUUUUUCUAGUAAGUUAAACAGGUUUUGCAAGACUUAUUAUUUAUUUAUUGUACAAAAACUGAUUUGUUUUUCAUUAAAUAAUUACUGCUGUAACAGUUUUCAAGAGUCCUAGUCCAAGCAACAGAACUGCUGUGUUACAAAGUGAACUUAUGCAUAUAUUCAAUAUAUGCAUGGACUAUGCAUAUGCCUCAGUAGAAAACACCCCUCUUUG